AAUAUUUUUUUUUUAUUUUUAAAAAUCUAUAUUUUUAUUUUUUUAAUUUUAAAAAUAUUUUUAGGGGUAUAACGUUAAUAGAGAGGGCAAAAUAACUAAAUUAUUCUUACUUUUUCUAUAAAAAAAUAAUUUUUAUUAUAUUUCUGUUAUUUUAAAAAGUAUUUUUAGUAUAAAUUAUUAAAAAUUGACGGAAUAGUGAUGGAACCCUAACGAAGGAGAACUAAAUGCAACAACUUGAAAUCUUGAGGAGAUAAAAUAUAGGUUUUUGAAAGUUUAGGAGGAAAAAAAAAAAAAAAAGGUAUUUAUAAAAAGGUUUUAUGUAAUUUAGCCCUUUUAAAUAAAAACUUCAAAUAUCCCCAUGUGGUUUAGCGUCUUCUCACUUUAGUACUUUGUGAUUUAAAGUAUACUUUUUUAGUACCCUGCGAUUUUAUUUUUCUCUUUCCAUCAACGCUUUAGUUAACUCCCCGUUAAAAUAUAUAAAAAAAAACUUCAAACACCCCCUUAUAGUUUAUCGAAUAUUCACUUUAAUAUUCUGUGGUUUACAAAAUUUUUACUUUACUAUCUUGUGGUUUUAACUUUCUCACUAACUUAAUAGAAAAAUUAAUGGAGGGGAUAACGGAAAGAGAAAAACUAAACCACACGGUACUAAUGAUAAAGUUUAGAACAUAAGAUACUAAAGUGAAAAAGCGCCGAACCACAAGGUGGUUUUUGAAGUUUUUUUUUUUUUUUAAUGAUAGAACUUUCAAAUCGACAAUCGACUCUGUUAAACUGAACAUACAGUAUUUAUAGUAUCUAAAAGUUAAUUUUAUAAUUUUUUAAUAUUAUUUAUCGAGUGAAAGAAAGGGCUCAAAAUUAACGAAUAAAGUAAAAAAUCUUAUAAAAAAUAAUGAUACAAUACUAAAGUUUUAGUUAAGUUAUAUUAAUCUUGUUUUAAAUAGUAUAAAUAAUUUUCUACCAAAAUUAUAUCUGAUUUCAAUAUUUUUAUACUGUUAAAUUUUAAGCGACUUAUAUCCACCAUUAAAAUUAUUAAUUUUGAGUCUCCUUAACUAUCAGGUAAAUGUUAUUAAAAAAUUAUAAAACUUAUUUUAAGAUGCUUCAAAUAUUCUAAAUUAAAUCCACCAUAGCCAAUCACCGAUUCAGAAUUCAUGUCAUCAAAAAUAAUUUGCAAACACGAAAGCUAUUAUGCCCCUGGAAUUAAG
This 1199-nucleotide long non-coding RNA is filed under the name Ananas comosus (pineapple). RNAcentral describes it as "long non-coding RNA (ACOM_LNC006780)". Lineage: Eukaryota; Viridiplantae; Streptophyta; Magnoliopsida; Poales; Bromeliaceae. The record is from RNAcentral.